GACGUAGGAGGCGAGCGUUGUCCGGAUUCAUUGGGCGUAAAGAGCGCGCAGGCGGCUUGGUAAGUCGGAUGUGAAAACCCGAGGCUCAACCUCGGGCGUGCAUCCGAAACUGCUCGGCUAGAGGUAGGUAGGGGAGAUCGGAAUUCCUGGUGUAGUGGUGGAAUGCGUAGAUAUCGGGAGGAACACCAGUGGCGAAGGCGGUUGCCUGGGGCUUUGCUGACGCUGAGGCGCGAAAGCGUGGGGAGCGAUCCGG
RNAcentral lists this ribosomal RNA (253 nucleotides) under uncultured bacterium. Its description in RNAcentral is "partial 16S ribosomal RNA". It matches the Rfam family "Bacterial small subunit ribosomal RNA", at positions 524 to 776 of the family's 1533-position model. The record is from RNAcentral.